CACGCUGGAGUCUUGCACCGCUGACGAGUGGCGAACGGGUGAGUAAUGCGUCGGAAUGUACCGUGUAAUGGGGGAUAGCUCGGCGAAAGCCGGAUUAAUACCGCAUACGCCCUGAGGGGGAAAGCGGGGGAUCGAAAGACCUCGCGUUAUACGAGCAGCCGACGUCUGAUUAGCUAGUUGGUGAGGUAAGAGCUCACCAAGGCGACGAUCAGUAGCGGGUCUGAGAGGAUGAUCCGCCACACUGGGACUGAGACACGGCCCAGACUCCUACGGGAGGCAGCAGUGGGGAAUUUUGGACAAUGGGGGCAACCCUGAUCCAGCCAUGCCGCGUGUCUGAAGAAGGCCUUCGGGUUGUAAAGGACUUUUGUCAGGGAGGAAAUCCCGCUGGUUAAUACCCGGCGGGGAUGACAGUACCUGAAGAAUAAGCACCGGCUAACUACGUGCCAGCAGCCGCGGUAAUACGUAGGGUGCGAGCGUUAAUCGGAAUUACUGGGCGUAAAGCGUGCGCAGGCGGUUGUGCAAGUCUGAUGUGAAAAGCCCCGGGCUUAACCCU
This 553-nucleotide ribosomal RNA is filed under the name Chromobacterium violaceum. Its description in RNAcentral is "bacterial SSU rRNA". It matches the Rfam family "Bacterial small subunit ribosomal RNA", at positions 70 to 616 of the family's 1533-position model. The record is from RNAcentral. Lineage: Bacteria; Pseudomonadati; Pseudomonadota; Betaproteobacteria; Neisseriales; Chromobacteriaceae.